This 65-nucleotide transfer RNA is filed under the name marine eukaryotic metagenome. It matches the Rfam family "tRNA". From Rfam's summary of the family: Transfer RNA (tRNA) molecules are approximately 80 nucleotides in length. Their secondary structure includes four short double-helical elements and three loops (D, anti-codon, and T loops). The record is from RNAcentral.
GGGCUUAGUUUAGUGGUAAAACCUCAGCCUUCCAAGCUGAUGAUGCGGGUUCGAUUCCCGCAGCC